UACGCAGGGGGCUAGCGUUGCUCGGAAUCACUGGGCGUAAAGGGUGCGUAGGCGGGUCUUUAAGUCGGGGGUGAAAUCCUGGAGCUCAACUCCAGAACUGCCUUUGAUACUGAAGGUCUUGAGUCCGGGAGAGGUGAGUGGAACUGCGAGUGUAGAGGUGAAAUUCGUAGAUAUUCGCAAGAACACCAGCGGCGAAGGCGGCUCACUCGCCCGAUACUGACGCUGAGGCACGAAAGCGUGGGGAGCAAACAGG
This 253-nucleotide unclassified non-coding RNA is filed under the name uncultured Alphaproteobacteria bacterium. Its description in RNAcentral is "contains 16S-23S intergenic spacer region". It matches the Rfam family "Bacterial small subunit ribosomal RNA", at positions 524 to 776 of the family's 1533-position model. The record is from RNAcentral. Lineage: Bacteria; Pseudomonadati; Pseudomonadota; Alphaproteobacteria.